RNAcentral lists this ribosomal RNA (292 nucleotides) under uncultured bacterium. RNAcentral describes it as "partial 16S ribosomal RNA". It matches the Rfam family "Bacterial small subunit ribosomal RNA", at positions 505 to 796 of the family's 1533-position model. The record is from RNAcentral.
GUGCCAGCAGCCGCGGUAAUACGUAGGGUGCAAGCGUUGUCCGGAAUUACUGGGUGUAAAGGGUCCGCAGGCGGGCCGACAAGUCGGUGGUGAAAGCUCACGGCUCAACCGUGAGAUUGCCUUCGAUACUGUCGGUCUUGAGUUCGAGAGAGGAUGAUGGAAUUCAUGGUGUAGCGGUGAAAUGCGUAGAGAUCAUGAAGAACACCGGUAGCGAAGGCGGUCAUCUGGCUCGAUACUGACGCUCAGGGACGAAAGCGUGGGUAGCAAACAGGAUUAGAUACCCCAGUAGUCC